Molecule: long non-coding RNA, 865 nt
Filed under: Aedes aegypti (yellow fever mosquito)
Lineage: Eukaryota; Metazoa; Arthropoda; Insecta; Diptera; Culicidae
Description: lncRNA AAEL024951
Source: RNAcentral
GUGGAUCACUCCUGAUGCAUCUGAUAUUUCAAGAAAAUUCGAUGCAUUUAAAUGCAUUCAAAUGUUCACUUCCAGAAAAUUUGCAAAUCAUGGCUUGCUCAAACGUAUGGCUGUUGUCUUUGUCAAACUGUCAAACGUAUCAUUCCAAAAACUCAACAAGAGCUGGUACCUCAUCAAUAAAUUGUAGCAACAAACGUUCAACUUAUAGUUUAACCCAAGGUUUUGUAUUUCUUCCAGAUUAUCGGAAUUUGGGUAUCGACCUUGGUAUCGACUUUGAAAGAUGUCCUACAUAUUUUCGUGAACAGUUAAGGAUGAGAGCAUAUAGAAGGGGAAGAGCGAACAUCUCCAUUGAUAAAUCAAAGCCAUGAUGGCCUAGUUUGCUAUCCUGGCAAUCCUUUCAAUGAACCAUGGUGCAAAAAGGAAUAGUCAGGGUUGUGGACAUGAAGAAGUCAAUCUAGCUACAUUAUGUGGAAAAAUAUUCAAUAAGCCACACAAACUAUGGAAAGAAUGAAUAUUAAAAUCAACUGAAGUAUCAUUCGCACUCCCAACUAUCAUUAAAGCAAAUAAAACGAGUUGUUUGGUCAAAAAAAAAUAUAUUUUUGGUUUGUUCUUUUCUAUCCAACUAAAUGUGAGUUCUGCAACUCUAUGCAGAUCCGUCCAGUCAAAUAAUAGUGUUGGCAGCUCAGUUAUUUCGAAGCGUUCCACUUCAGUAAAGUGAACAAACAUCACAGACUGUGGGCUUGACGAGGAGAUUCUACCUACCCCUGCUUGCAAAAAGUUCCGUUUUCUAUAUGGACGCAGUACAACACUCAUGACAAAAAUAUUCCUUAACAUAAUGCUUUGAAGAUCCGGUGGAAAUCCUUUU